GAAGAACAGUCCUUUAAUUAUUAUCCUCAAGAUCUGAAAAAAAUAAAUCUUGGACUUAAAGAUCUCAGGAUAAAAAAACUCUUUCAGUCGAGAAAAACCUGACCUACUAAGAUAAGAAAAACCUCACCUACUAGGCUUCAAAAAUCUACUUACUGUCCAACCACAUCUUUAACCAAAUCUUCUAUUACUUGGAGAGAAAUAAAAAAUGAUACUAAAGAUUAUAGUGUAGAACCUAC
This 236-nucleotide long non-coding RNA is filed under the name Elaeis guineensis (African oil palm). Its description in RNAcentral is "long non-coding RNA (EGUI_LNC049172)". Lineage: Eukaryota; Viridiplantae; Streptophyta; Magnoliopsida; Arecales; Arecaceae. The record is from RNAcentral.